UACGUAGGGUGCAAGCGUUAUCCGGAAUUAUUGGGCGUAAAGAGCUCGUAGGCGGUUUGUCGCGUCUGCUGUGAAACUGGGGCUCAACCCCAGCCUGCAGUGGUACGGGCAGACUAGAGUGCGGUAGGGGAGAUUGGAAUUCCUGGUGUAGCGGUGGAAUGCGUAGAGAUCGGGAGAACACCAGUGGCGAAGGCGGCUACCUGGACCAGCACUGACACUGAGGCACGAA
Molecule: ribosomal RNA, 229 nt
Filed under: uncultured bacterium
Lineage: Bacteria
Description: partial 16S ribosomal RNA
Rfam family: Bacterial small subunit ribosomal RNA
Source: RNAcentral